GUCUCGCAGUCACUAUAAAUGGUGAAAAACAGCUCUUAAGGAUACGUUAAUCCAUGUGACAAUUGACUCUUAAUCAAUGGGUCGAGGGUUCGAGCCCCUCCGAGGUCA
Molecule: transfer RNA, 108 nt
Filed under: Sphingobacterium sp. UDSM-2020
Lineage: Bacteria; Pseudomonadati; Bacteroidota; Sphingobacteriia; Sphingobacteriales; Sphingobacteriaceae
Description: tRNA-Lys
Source: RNAcentral